This is an RNA transcript of Pipra filicauda (Wire-tailed manakin), 1299 nucleotides long. It is a transcript of the gene named NADH:ubiquinone oxidoreductase subunit A12, with no coding region annotated. The transcript is spliced from 7 exons. NCBI's taxonomy places the organism in Eukaryota, Metazoa, Chordata, Aves, Passeriformes, Pipridae. The record is from RefSeq and is a predicted model, not a curated record.
CUCCGCCCCGCUGGGGGAGGUGUGUCCGGCCGGCAGCGGUGCUGUGCUUAGAGCCGUGCCGGGCCGGGCCAGGGCCCCUGGGUUGUUUUCUUUAGGCAGUUUGGAGGGUUCCUCGGCGCUGAGCUGUCAGUACUGCCCAGGCAGGUUUUCCUGGUGUCCAGCCGCAGGCCUUAGUCCCGCUGCCACAACCGUGUCUCUGCUGUAGCUGCCCCCAGCGCUUCUCUGUGCGCCAUCGCACCCUUUGCUCUGAGUCGCCUCAGGCUGGCAGUGACUUACUUGAACUGUGCAAGCCUGAAAGCCGUGCGUCUGCUGAAACUACUCGGUGUAGAUCAGGGAAUUACUUCACGUGCCUGACCGGCUCUAAUUCUUUAACACCAAACUUCACGUCACAUCUGCUUCUUUGUCACUGGGUUGUCAGCACUGACCUGUGCUCAACAUUGCAUACCUCCUGGCCCCAGUGGCACUUCGUGCAAAAUUAGUUGCAGCCUUUGUUUCCAUUCAGUGGAAUAACAUGGCUGUGUGCCUUCAUCCCCGAGUACAGAACCUUGCACUUGUCCGCCUUAAACUUUCUUCUGUCGUUUUUCCCCACUGACAUCUCAUCUCUUCCUUGUGACAGCAUGCUUGAAGCUGCUCCCAAGUAGGAGUAGCUGCAGGUUUACUAAGGCACUCUUUUUUCAUUCAGGUCCUCGAUGAAAUAUAAGGUGGAAGUGUAAAUGGUGUUUUCCUUGCAUGAGGCGCACAGUGCUUCAGAUCUUACUAGUCUCCAGGUGCAUCACCUUGUGCUAGACCUUUGUACCAUUGAAUUUCAUUCUGGUGGUGUCACUAUAGCCCUGAAGACAGUACAGAAUUUCCUGUAUAAUAAUGUGACCUUCCUCAAUAAGGGAUCUUUUGUGAGUCAAAGAUUGCAGGCUGUGUCAACACCUUUCUACCAUACGGAAAAAGAGAGCAGGGUCAAUGAUUUGAAGACUGGUAAUCUGGUAGGAACUGAUAAAUAUGGAAACAAAUACUAUGAAGACACAAGAAACUUCUUUGGUCGACACAGAUGGGUCGUAUAUACUGAAGAAAUGAAUGGCAAAAACACGUUUUGGGAAGUUGAUGGAAGUAUGGUGCCCCCUGAAUGAUAACUCACACCACAUAAAGUAACAGUGUAUGCUAGUAAAAACAAUCUCUGCGGUUCUCGAGGAACAGCAAUAGCACUGCAGCCCCAAAGCAGCAAAAGGCAUCGCUGGCUCCACUCAAUGACGGAUGACCCUCCGACUACUCAUCCACCAGUUGCUCGUAAAUUUAUCUGGGAGAACC